AAUGAACGCUGGCGGCGCGCCUAAUACAUGCAAGUCGAGCGAGAAGACGUAGCAAUACGUUUGUAAAGCGGCGAACGGGUGAGGAAUACAUGGGUAACCUACCCUCGAGUGGGGAAUAACUAGCCGAAAGGUUAGCUAAUACCGCGUACGCUCCUUGGACUUCGGUUCAGGGAGGAAAGCGAUACCGUGGGUAUCGCGCUCUUGGUUGGGCUCAUGUCCUAUCAGCUUGUUGGUGAGGAACGGCUCACCAAGGCUUCGACGGGUAGCUGGUCUGAGAGGACGAUCAGCCACACUGGCACUGCGACACGGGCCAGACUCCUACGGGAGGCAGCAGUAAGGAAUAUUGCGCAAUGGGCGAAAGCCUGACGCAGCGACGCCGCGUGGGGGAUGAAGGUC
RNAcentral lists this ribosomal RNA (396 nucleotides) under uncultured bacterium. Its description in RNAcentral is "bacterial SSU rRNA". It matches the Rfam family "Bacterial small subunit ribosomal RNA", at positions 29 to 416 of the family's 1533-position model. The record is from RNAcentral.